RNAcentral lists this ribosomal RNA (253 nucleotides) under uncultured bacterium. Its description in RNAcentral is "partial 16S ribosomal RNA". It matches the Rfam family "Bacterial small subunit ribosomal RNA", at positions 524 to 776 of the family's 1533-position model. The record is from RNAcentral.
UACGGAGGUGGCUAGCGUUGUUCGGAUUUACUGGGCGUAAAGCGCACGUAGGCGGAUUUUUAAGUCAGAGGUGAAAGCCCAAGGCUCAACUUUGGAACUGCCUUUGAUACUGGAAGUCUCGAGCCCGGGAGAGGUGAGUGGAACUGCGAGUGUAGAGGUGAAAUUCGUAGAUAUUCGCAAGAACACCAGUGGCGAAGGCGGCUCACUGGCCCGGAACUGACGCUGAGGUGCGAAAGCGUGGGGAGCAAACAGG